UAGUGGAGUGGUUUGUCUGGUUAUUUCCAUUAACCAGCAAGCAUCAUGCCUGCUAAAUAAGUUGGUUAAUUAAUUUCACAGAUUUAAUCAUAUUAGAGAGACAUUCAUUCUAUUAGAUGCAAGAAGAUAGCAGCAAUAUA
RNAcentral lists this ribosomal RNA (140 nucleotides) under uncultured eukaryote. Its description in RNAcentral is "partial 18S ribosomal RNA". The record is from RNAcentral.